GCUCAACCGAGGAAGUGCUUCGAAAACUGGUAAACUUGAGUGCAGAAGAGGAAAGUGGAACUCCAUGUGUAGCGGUGGAAUGCGUAGAUAUAUGGAAGAACACCAGUGGCGAAGGCGGCUUUCUGGUCUGUAACUGACGCUGAGAUUCGAAAGCAUGGGUAGCAAACAGGAUUAGAUACCCUGGUAGUCCAUGCCGUAAACGAUGAGUGCUAAGUGUUGGAGGGUUUCCGCCCUUCAGUGCUGCAGCUAACGCAUUAAGCACUCCGCCUGGGGAGUACGAUCGCAAGAUUGAAACUCAAAGGAAUUGACGGGGGCCCGCACAAGCGGUGGAGCAUGUGGUUUAAUUCGAAGCAACGCGAAGAACCUUACCAGGUCUUGACAUACCAUGAAAAGCUUAGAGAUAAGUCUUUCCCUUCGGGGACAUGGAUACAGGUGGUGCAUGGUUGUCGUCAGCUCGUGUCGUGAGAUGUUGGGUUAAGUCCCGCAACGAGCGCAACCCUUAUUAUCAGUUGCCAGCAUUCAGUUGGGCACUCUGGUGAGACUGCCGGUGAUAACCGGAGGAAGGUGGGGACGACGUCAAAUCAUCAUGCCCCUUAUGACCUGGGCUACACACGUGCUACAAUGGUCGGUACAACG
Molecule: ribosomal RNA, 636 nt
Filed under: uncultured bacterium
Lineage: Bacteria
Description: bacterial SSU rRNA
Rfam family: Bacterial small subunit ribosomal RNA
Source: RNAcentral